UACGUAGGGCGCAAGCGUUGUCCGGAUUUAUUGGGCGUAAAGAGCUCGUAGGCGGCUUGUCGCGUCGACUGUGAAAAACCCGCGGCUCAACUGCGGGCCUGCAGCCGAUACGGGCAGGCUAGAGUUCGGUAGGGGGAGACUGGAAUUCCUGGUGUAGCGGUGGAAUGCGCAGAUAUCAGGAGGAACACCAAUAGCGAAGGCAGCUCGCUGGGACGGUAUUGACGCUAAGGCGCGAAAGCGUGGGGAGCAAACAGGG
This 256-nucleotide ribosomal RNA is filed under the name uncultured bacterium. Its description in RNAcentral is "partial 16S ribosomal RNA". It matches the Rfam family "Bacterial small subunit ribosomal RNA", at positions 524 to 777 of the family's 1533-position model. The record is from RNAcentral.